UGCGCCAACUAUUCCCUCUCGUGAGCGCGAGAAGUGUCAGAGCGUUGCCUCCGCCUCGUUUAUUGCCCUUUCCCGUUUGUCCCUUUGUCACGGCUAGCGCUCGUAUAUGCGCUCCGUUGCACUCUCCUAUGAAACGGCGCUAUGGACAUCAACGUUGGCACCAGUUGUGGCGGCAUCGGUAACAUAGGCUGUGACGGCAGCGUGCGCAGCACUGUUGAGCGGAAGAGAGCUCGCGAUGCCGAACGUAAACGGGAGCGCCGGAAAUCAGACGCCAAACUUCGAGCUCGUGAAGUCGCAAGAAAACGGCAACGGCGGCAAUCGGACCCCGAAGUCCGAGCUCGCGAGGCCGAACGUAAACGGCAACGGCGAGCUGAAGACCCCGAACUCCGGGCUCGCGAAGCCGAAGCGCAACGGCAACGCCGAGCUAGAGACAUCGAGAGUGCGAGGCAACGCGAAGCCGAAAAGCAACGGAAACGGCGAGCCGCAAAUCCCGAAGCGUUUAGGCAACGUGAUUCUGCGGCCAGGGCAUUGAGGCGUGCGAGAAAACUGCAACCACCGGGAACUGACGGAGCGACCGCACACUUCCACGACCGACACUUCGGACACAGCUGCUCCGUGUGCGACCGACUUGGGUUCGACAACAACCUAAGCAAGGGAGAGCCUACCUUAUGCGACAAGUGCAAGAAUUCUAGAAGAAAUGCACAGACGGCAACUAUACCACCGUUAAAAGGGGGCGUGGACGUUGCAGUUGGGACCAGAAGACGCGCUGAUCGCAAGUUGUGCAAGUCGACACAGGCAUCAUUGGACCCUUUCAUGGUGGACUGGUGGACGGACACGGCGGAUCUUGAAGAUUUGCAGGACACUGGCACUCAUAGAAGGGAGAGCACAGGUGAAUGUCCAGCGCCACCUGUGCAUGGAUCAUCAGGUCGUCACGAAAGAGUACAAAGCCCCGGAGUUUCCGCCGUACAUAGGAGUCAUCUAGAUAGCCAGGAGGGACCUGCAUCGGGCAGCAGCAACGAGUCACUGGACUCGGCAUCCUUCGUGUCCACAGGACCAAUUGGUGCCGCCUACUCAGAGCAAGGAGCUGAAGUUGCUGUACACCAGACUAUACUUCCAGCAAAUGUGGCCAAACCUGUCACCAUCGAGUUAUCAGCAAAUUUCCUUUACAUGUGCGCAUUUUGUUUGACUGAAUUCGCUGACCUACAAGACCUCGCCGGCCAUGUAGAGGUGUGUCCGUGGCCCGAACCGUAUCUGUGCGGCCUGUGUUCCAAGCCGUGCGAGGACUGGAAGACGACGAGGACCCACAUGGGCGCCCAUGUCGGCAACAAAUUGAAGUGUCCGUUUUGUCACCGUAGGCAUUACAAAUUCAAGUACGACCUUGUGCGCCAUCACAUCAUGCUCCACGUAACUGUCUGUCAGUUUAUGUGUGGCCUGUGCCGAUCGGCGUUCCCAACCAAAAAGGCCCUGCAGUCCCAUCAUUCCGUGUCUCGAUCGAAGGGGCUGCCCUGCAGGUACAUCAAGCACCGGCCACGCAAGGACAAUGUGAGUGGUCCACGACCCGCAGCUUCGACUCGUCAAGGAGCAUUCGUUCAGGUGCAACAUCUGUGCAACGUCUGCUCAUGUGCGAUAUCUGUUCAGUUGUAACAUUUGCCCAGCUGUGUUCAACUGUGGGCCAUUACUGCAACACCACUCGGCCAAUUGUGAGGAUAAGAGACUGCCUAUGCUGGCAUUGAGCCGGAUUAAACUGUACCGAAUGGCCACAAGAAAGGGCCAUUUAAAUGCUUGCAUCUAGACACAUGUCAAUUCGUGUUUAGUUGUUCAUCUUGUGACAUUGAGCGCAUGGAGGAACUGAACUGUUCGCUGCAGUCUUCGUAAAAGAGCCACGGAUGGUCACAGCCGCUAUGGAUGAAAAGGCGGCUCAACGGCAAGCGGAGUUGAAGGCUCGUAGAGCUGCUGCAGCACGUCAACGCCGGCAGACGGACCCUCUGUGGAGGGCUCGCCAAGCUGCAGCAGCACGGCGACGCCGGCAAGCGAACCUGGAGGCGGUGAGAGCACGGGAAGCGGCAGCAGCACGAUUACGCCGGCAACAGAACCCAGAGGCGGUCAGAGCGCGGGAAGCAGCGGCAAAACGCCGGCAGCGUUCAAAAGUUAACCCGAAGUCUAAGGUGCGGAAAACUGCAGAAGCACGGCAACCCGAAUAAUCUCUUGUUGCUUUGCUCACUGGUGAUCAUUUACUCUGUAUAUUCGGUGAUUUUUUUAGUUGUUUUGGUGUGGACUAUGGACGCUUUCUACAUAUGAAUCCCAGACAACAGGUGUGAAAUAUCUCCGAAUUUCAAGUUUUCGUCACCCAGAAUCUGGAAGCCAGCCUCACUGUUAUGAAGAUUAUAACAACGAGCCGUCGCAGUGCACUGUGCGAAUUUCGAAUCAUACAUACGAUCAUAAAACACAGAAAUUGGUGCCGGAAUCGGUGAACGACAAAUCACUUAGCGUUGUUUGUAUGCACAACGUGCGACUGACAAGAUAUGAAAUACGUGCUGCUUAUCUGCUUUGAGAUACUAUGUCCUAGUGACGUAAGGUUGUGUUUAAACAUUGCAGUGAAAUUGCUCCCCUUAUAUGGUUACCAAAAGUGAUCUUUUGUAAUAUAGUGGUAAUAACAUAUAUUCAAUGCAUCGGUAGGCUCUACUAUGUCUUUUAUCGAGGUUUUUGGCACCAUUGUCUUUAUCUUGUGCUACAAUAAAAAAUAUUUGAAUUUCGUGUCAA
This is an unclassified non-coding RNA of Rhipicephalus microplus (southern cattle tick), 2760 nucleotides long. Lineage: Eukaryota; Metazoa; Arthropoda; Arachnida; Ixodida; Ixodidae. The record is from RefSeq and is a predicted model, not a curated record.